This 331-nucleotide ribosomal RNA is filed under the name uncultured Sphingobacteriales bacterium. RNAcentral's name for it is "bacterial SSU rRNA". It matches the Rfam family "Bacterial small subunit ribosomal RNA", at positions 1049 to 1382 of the family's 1533-position model. Lineage: Bacteria; Pseudomonadati; Bacteroidota; Sphingobacteriia; Sphingobacteriales. The record is from RNAcentral.
UUGUCGUCAGCUCGUGCCGUGAGGUGUCGGUUAAGUCCCAUAACGAGCGCAACCCUACCUUUAGUUGCCAUCAGGUAAUGCUGGGGACUCUAAGGAACUGCUACGCAAGUAGUGAGGAAGGCGGGGAGUGACGUCAAAUCAGCACGGCCCUUACGUCCAGGGCUACACACGUGCUACAAUGGCCGAUACAGAGGGCAGCUACCUGGUGACAGGAUGCAAAUCUCCAAAGUCGGUCUCAGUUCGGAUCGGAGUCUGCAACCCGACUCCGUGAAGUUGGAUUCGCUAGUAAUCGCGCAUCAGCCAUGGCGCGGUGAAUACGUUCCCGGGCCUU